AAUAAGAAUAAUACUUAAUUAGAUUUAAGAAGUUAAGAAACUUAACAGGAAUGCAUUUCUAAGUGCAUGGUCUUUUAAAUUCUUUUUCUUAAUUCCUAGAAAAGUCCUUGAGCAUUAAUUUAAUCGAGUGAUUUAAUUUAUGUGGAGGUUCACCAAUUAUUCGUUUAACAAAGAGAGCGUUAUCUUCUAUGCAACUUAUCCUAACAUCAAUUAUUUGAGCACUAAAUCAAAGUCCAAGAAUUAAAUUUAUCAUCGCGAGAUUAAUUAGUGGACCAUCAAUUAUCUGACCGGGCAAAACAAUAGGAGGGCCCACAACUUAAAUAACACAGUAGGCCCAACUCGAAGGAAAUUAGCCCAUCUCUCUCUUUAGUGUUUUUAGGCCCAAGCUUCGAUUUUAUUUUAGUCAUUAGCCCAUCCCUAUAUUUUAUCUCCUCGGCCCAAAACAAAAUAAAAGAAAGAGGCCCAAAACAAAAACAACAAACAACCCAAACUAUUCUCUCCCCCAAUCUAUCGUCUCUCUCUCAUCCUCAUUCCCCAAUUUCUCAAAUUGGGGGAAAAACUCAAAAUCCCUAACUUCACAACCCUAACUCCACGGCACCUCCUCUCCUUCACGCCGAUUGCUCCCGUCGCGCCAGUCAGCCGCCGGCGCCCUGUCGGCGGCGUCGCAGGCUCGUCGGUACACUCCGUCUCUGACCAUUUUUUUUCUCUGCCUCACCCCUGGCCCUCACACCCAGCCGGCCGCCCAUCGCUCGGGGCCUCGUCGCCCGGAACCCAAGGCAUGUCGGGGCCUUCGCUCCUACCCUUCAAUCGACCGAGACUCCGUCGGUUCAGGCGAGAAAUCGCGUCGCUAGAGGGCACGCCGGCAGUUGCCAUCUCCGCCGCGCCAUAGCCGUCGCGAUCCUCUGAACUCCACCCCCUCUCUCUCUCUCUCUUCGGCGGUGACACCACCGCCAAUUUUGGCUCCGCUUCUCGGCGAUUCAGCCGCCAUCUCUCUGCGCCGUCGGCUCCAACUCCGACAUUAUAGGCUAUGAGAAAAGAUUGGGAGAAGGGAUGGAGGUGAAAUACCUGUUGAAGUAGUUACUGCCUUGAAAUAUGCUCCUAGAACACCAAGCUCUCUAACUCUCUUUAAAUUUGCUGAAAUUUUUGGGGUGUGUGGGAAGGGAUCCGAAGGUGGUAUGGAGGGGGGUCUUUAUAGGAAAUUUUUUGUGUACUUUGAUGAAUUAAAUGGUUUAUAUGGUAGUUUGUCUCUACUUUGCAGCAUAUCUCUUUAGUUGAUUCACUUUGUAAGACUUAAUUUUGGUGUUAUUUUGGUUGUACUUGGUACUUGGCUAUUACUUCAAUUUGUUUGCUUAUUGCAGGGGUGGUGUUGGAGGGAUAAUAAUCCAUAGGUGUUGGUUUGAGGAAAGGAUUUGCAGGCAUUGACUUUCCCUUCUUGGUGGAACAAAGACUUGGACUGCCAUCCGCGAUACCGGCUCGCUGCUCCGGGCCCAACAGGCUGAUCGGAUAGGGCCGCGGUGGGGAUGCAGUUUGGGCUAGGGAGAAAGAGGCCCAGAGUAGCUAAUAGAAGCUUUUAGUUUCUUAGCCUUCUGGGCUCAUUCUUGAAUUUUUUUUGUAAUAGUAUAGUAUUUCAUUUAGAUAAAGUUUAUUACUCGAGAUGUAUGCGAACAUUUUAGUUCGGAGACAACUUCAUAUCCUUGUACAAUUUCACAUAUCUCUCAUAACAUACAUUGGUUUGUUCGAUUAACACUUAAA
Long non-coding RNA from Salvia splendens (bonfire salvia), 1752 nucleotides. RefSeq lists it as uncharacterized. The transcript has 2 exons. NCBI's taxonomy places the organism in Eukaryota, Viridiplantae, Streptophyta, Magnoliopsida, Lamiales, Lamiaceae. The record is from RefSeq and is a predicted model, not a curated record.